This 826-nucleotide unclassified non-coding RNA is filed under the name Hevea brasiliensis (rubber tree). Lineage: Eukaryota; Viridiplantae; Streptophyta; Magnoliopsida; Malpighiales; Euphorbiaceae. The record is from RNAcentral.
GGAAAAUUAUUUUAUGAAUAGUAAAAUUAUAAUUUUACCCUUAAGUUAAGAAAUAAAAACUUCUAAAAUAUAGGGAUAUAUUUGUAAUUUUCCAUAUUUUCCUCCCACUUUCCUCUCAUUUUGGAGAGAAAGUAAAAGUGGACAAAAAAAAUUUUAUUUUCCUCUCAAAUUUUCCUUCAUUUCUCUCUUAUUUCUCUCUAUCCAAACACAAAAUGAUGAAAAAUAAAAUUAUUUUACUCUCAAAUUUUAUUUCCUUUCUUAUUUUCCCUCUAUCCAAACAUAGUGUUAAUGUUCAAAACAAUUAAGUUCCAUCUUCUUACAGUAUUGGUAAGUUGUACAGACCCCUUAUCUGAGUUUAGUCCUCUGUUUGCCAUCUUGCUAGAUCUAUCGCAUCAUGAGGCAUGAGAUGUGCAAUUUGCAAACUUAGGCAUUUUGAUCAUUUGAUGUGAAAUAAAGUUUCUAUGGCAAUUCAGCAGCUGGUUUAGUUUUACAGUAACCUGAGUUGCUGUUCACGGUAUAGUCCAAUGACCUUUGAAUUUAUUUCAUGCUUCUGUCUGUUUGAUUAGCCUAAUCCUUACACUCUCACUGCCACAUUAAAAACCCUAAAGCCUCACAUAUUUUCCUGGCUUUUCCUCUUUAAUUAAUCGUCAAGAUGUUACUUGACUAGUUCCCUCUUAUACUUGCUUCCAUGUUGGCACAUUUGUAUUUUAUAUAGGCUACUUGGUAAUUGCCAUAGAUUAGUUGCAUCUGAGUGCAAUUAUAUUGCUCUUCUUAUCUUAUUAUUUAUUUGUUAUCGAAUCCUAAUUAUUUUUGUUAUAUUGUUCAG